GACGAACGCUGGCGGCGUGCCUAAUACAUGCAAGUCGAACGGUUCUUUCUUUUGGAAGCUUGCUUCCGAUCGAGAGAAUAGUGGCGAACGGGUGAGUAACACGUGGGUAACCUGCCCAUAAGAGGGGGAUAACAUCCGGAAACGGGUGCUAAUACCGCAUAGUUUUUUUGAUCGCAUGAUCGAGAAAGGAAAGACGGCCUUUGUGCUGUCGCUUAUGGAUGGACCCGCGGCGUAUUAGUUAGUUGGUGAGGUAAUGGCUCACCAAGACGAUGAUACGUAGCCGACCUGAGAGGGUGAUCGGCCACAUUGGGACUGAGACACGGCCCAAACUCCUACGGGAGGCAGCAGUAGGGAAUCUUCCGCAAUGGACGAAAGUCUGACGGAGCAACGCCGCGUGAGUGAAGAAGGUUUUCGGAUCGUAAAACUCUGUUGUCAGAGAAGAACAAGUCGGAGAGUAACUGCUCCGGCCUUGACGGUAUCUGACCAGAAAGCCACGGCUAACUACGUGCCAGCAGCCGCGGUAAUACGUAGGUGGCAAGCGUUGUCCGGAUUUAUUGGGCGUAAAGCGAGCGCAGGCGGUUCCUUAAGUCUGAUGUGAAAGCCCACGGCUCAACCGUGGAAGGUCAUUGGAAACUGGGGAACUUGAGUGCAGAAGAGGAGAGUGGAAUUCCAUGUGUAGCGGUGAAAUGCGUAGAUAUAUGGAGGAACACCAGUGGCGAAGGCGACUCUCUGGUCUGUAACAGACGCUGAGGCUCGAAAGCGUGGGGAGCAAACAGGAUUAGAUACCCUGGUAGUCCACGCUGUAAACGAUGAGUGCUAAGUGUUGGAGGGUUUCCACCCUUCAGUGCUGUAGCUAACGCAUUAAGCACUCCGCCUGGGGAGUACGGCCGCAAGGCUGAGACUCAAAGGAAUUGANGGGGACCCGCACAAGCGGNGG
This 937-nucleotide ribosomal RNA is filed under the name bacterium enrichment culture clone ZZ_F2b. Its description in RNAcentral is "bacterial SSU rRNA". It matches the Rfam family "Bacterial small subunit ribosomal RNA", at positions 28 to 935 of the family's 1533-position model. The record is from RNAcentral.